This 497-nucleotide ribosomal RNA is filed under the name uncultured bacterium. RNAcentral describes it as "partial 16S ribosomal RNA". It matches the Rfam family "Bacterial small subunit ribosomal RNA", at positions 28 to 507 of the family's 1533-position model. The record is from RNAcentral.
GACGAACGCUGGCGGCGUGCCUAAUACAUGCAAGUAGAACGCUGAAGAGAGGAGCUUGCUCUUCUUGGAUGAGUUGCGAACGGGUGAGUAACGCGUAGGUAACCUGCCUGGUAGCGGGGGAUAACUAUUGGAAACGAUAGCUAAUACCGCAUAAAAUGGAUUAUCGCAUGAUAAUCCAUUGAAAGGUGCAAAUGCAUCACUACCAGAUGGACCUGCGUUGUAUUAGCUAGUUGGUGGGGUAACGGCUCACCAAGGCGACGAUACAUAGCCGACCUGAGAGGGUGAUCGGCCACACUGGGACUGAGACACGGCCCAGACUCCUACGGGAGGCAGCAGUAGGGAAUCUUCGGCAAUGGACGGAAGUCUGACCGAGCAACGCCGCGUGAGUGAAGAAGGUUUUCGGAUCGUAAAGCUCUGUUGUAAGAGAAGAACGAGUGUGAGAGUGGAAAGUUCACACUGCGACGGUAUCUUACCAGAAAGGGACGGCUAACUACGUG